AGAAUUGUCCCUAAGUUUCUGUGUUUGUUGCUCGUUCUUCAGGAUGUUGUAGAAACAGCGAGGAAACUCUGUGAACCACACAGUCUUUCUGGUGGAUCAAGUUCAGCAGAAGACGAUUCAAAAGCUGCAAAAACAUUUAGAUUGCCAGAGAAGUGAUGAAGACUUUCCUGAUAUUCCAGCAUCAGUUUUGAA
This is a long non-coding RNA of Nematolebias whitei (Rio pearlfish), 192 nucleotides long. RefSeq lists it as uncharacterized. Lineage: Eukaryota; Metazoa; Chordata; Actinopteri; Cyprinodontiformes; Rivulidae. The transcript has 3 exons. The record is from RefSeq and is a predicted model, not a curated record.